ACCGCCUUCCUCUCUACAAUAUAGGAAUCGGUGCUUGUUGGUUUCUUUGAAUAAUUUCUGAUGGCUUCUUCCGAGAAUAAAAAAUCGGAGAAACCCACUUCUUCCGCUGCGAUCCAUAUGCACGAAGCGCUAACCCCGGAACGACUUGACGGCAGCAACUAUGACGAGUGGUCGUUGAAUGCGCAAAACAAGAUCAGAGGCAGAAAACGUUGGG
Molecule: long non-coding RNA, 214 nt
Filed under: Trifolium pratense (red clover)
Lineage: Eukaryota; Viridiplantae; Streptophyta; Magnoliopsida; Fabales; Fabaceae
Description: long non-coding RNA (TPRA_LNC006546)
Source: RNAcentral